GCAGCAGCAGGUACAGGAGAGAUGGAUUGCAUCUGCUUCCACAAGAGUGAUACUGGAAAAUCAUUCUUCCCAAAUCUCCAACUCUAAAUCGGUUAGAAACAGGCAUUCUGAGUCCAACACAGCAUAGACAACCCAACUCCCCCGCACUUGGUGUCAAUCAUUGACUUCAACUGGAGCCUGAAAGGGCGGCAGGAAUGUCGUGAGUCUGUGUGGAAUUUCACCAACAGCAGCCAGCUGUGCUCUCCAUUUGGGAAUCAGUCGGCCAACUUUUCAAGUCCUUGCAGUCAGCUUGGUGACAUUCCUUUCUUCAGAUGCAAUGCAGAUGGUUUUUGAACACCACAGCCAACCGAUUCCAUACUGUUAGGAAAUUUUACACAUCCAUAGGCAGUGCCCUUCUCAUCCUGGAGAAAACGAGAAGAGGGAAAUGCAGGGCAUACGAAGCUCUGGCAUCUGGUGAGGGAUCCAGUAGCCAUCAAUCUGACCUGUAAUUGUCUUUUCAUCAAAGGUCUGGCACAGCUGCUGUUAGCUUCUCCCAGCAUAAACAACAUCCCCAGCAUGGCUCUGCCCUUCCUGCCACAGAUGCAGAAAUGAUUCACUCUCCAGAUAGAAAAGGUGUGGGAGGAGCACAAGUCCUAGUGUGGUGCAAAAUGCAAGGAACUCUAGAAGUGGUGAGGACAAGGGUAGCUGUAUAAAGUACCUGUGUAGAGAGGUAAAGAGCAGGAAGAAAAUGAGGAAACUGUGGGGAGCGCUGAGGGAACUAAUG
Molecule: long non-coding RNA, 763 nt
Organism: Centrocercus urophasianus (Greater sage-grouse)
Lineage: Eukaryota; Metazoa; Chordata; Aves; Galliformes; Phasianidae
Exons: 3
Source: RefSeq, a predicted model, not a curated record